CUAUCAUAUCAUCUAAUUUUGCUUAACUUUAUCUUCAUUAUAAGGGAGGGUUCCAAGGGAGAGAGAUUUAUUGGGGAAUAAAUUUGGUUUUUAAAAAGAUGCCAAUUAAACACCUAAAAUUUUUUUAAAAAACCUUUAGGACUUACAAAUAAUGACUUUAUUUUUAAUAAUAAAAAAAAAAAAUGGGUGAUUUUUUUGAUGUGAUCUGUGAGUACUUUCUUUUCCAGAGUAGAACAGCACUUGCUCUGAAAGUAGUCUUAGAUAGUUGCCUAAGGCACAUAGAGAUUAAAUGAAUUUCUGAGGUCACAUAAGCAGUAUAUAUAAAAGGCAAGAGAUGACCUGAGAUAUUCUGUCUUUGAAAUAAGCUUUCUACUCACAGCUGUAUCACACCGGAAAAACUGAACCAUCAAUUCCAUCUGAAGUAUGCUGGGGACUAAAAGCUUUCUGACAAAUGGCUGCCUAUGAAGAUUCAGACCAUGGAGGUGGACAGGAUAAAUAAGAAUUCAAGACACAAUGGACCAAGUAAAAAUUCUGAGUUUCAAAGUCUCAGCAGCAGAGAAAUGGAAUCAUGAGGAAAACAUUGGAUUGUUCCAGCCCAGUAAUAAAUAACCCCAGAACCAGGACACUGUGGUCUGCAAGCAAGAGAAUAUUUCUUCCUAUCCAUUCUUACCAAACAUCCUUUUGUAAAAGUUAAUAAUGGUUAAAUGAUACUUGGGAGAUAUUGAAAAUUAUUAAGAAGCUAAGUAGGCCAGGAAAAAUAGCACUGGAUUUUGACUCAAGAAAACCAAACUAUUUGUUUGAUAUUGCAGGCUAUUACCACUAUCCAUUGGAUGCAGCUUCAUGAGUGAUAGUAUUAGAAAACCCCACAAUUCUGCAAGUUUUACUCUAGAACUGCCUCAAAGAGUCCUGUCAGGCUUUAAGAAAUGUUUAGUGAUUGAUUGGCUAUGUAUUCUGGAAACAUGCUCUGCCAGUGUAAAUGGGGUUAUAAGAUGGUAG
Long non-coding RNA from Antechinus flavipes (yellow-footed antechinus), 996 nucleotides. RefSeq lists it as uncharacterized. The transcript is spliced from 3 exons. Lineage: Eukaryota; Metazoa; Chordata; Mammalia; Dasyuromorphia; Dasyuridae. The record is from RefSeq and is a predicted model, not a curated record.